Molecule: long non-coding RNA, 880 nt
Organism: Mesocricetus auratus (golden hamster)
Lineage: Eukaryota; Metazoa; Chordata; Mammalia; Rodentia; Cricetidae
Exons: 5
Source: RefSeq, a predicted model, not a curated record
GAAGCAUUAGAGACAAGCAAAGGAAUAACAUACAUUAAAUCUCAUCAUCUUGAUGUCAGUUAAGAAAAUGGAAGUUUUUUAAACCAAUUUUUAUUCAUUUUCCAUACCAACCACAGUUCCCCUUCCCUCCCCUUUUUCCUGAUGCCCUGAUCACCUCUCCUCAACCCACCCCAUCCACUCCUCAGAAAGACAUUACAAACUAUUUCCAAUGCUACUGGUUAUCUUCCAGAAGUGGACAAUAAGGACAUAUUGCUGAAGAUGUUAUAUAAUUGAGUUACAGAACAUGGAGAAAUUUAGCUGAAUGUCUAGCAGACUCUUCCAUGAAGCAGGAACCCUUCAGGACUAUCCCAUCUUGUUUCAGCAGUCACUUUCCUGUGGUUCGUGCAUGUCCACUUUAUACAGCAUACAGGCAAACAGUCCAGAAGAUCAGUCUUUUGCUCAAAUGGCCAGUCUUGCCAUUUCAAAGUCCUUCAGACCUGGAUGGAAUCCAGUGGCCCUCUGCAGCCUCUCUCCUGAAGACUGCGAGGCUUUUCAACCUCCAUAAAGAUGCAAGAUUAUAAUUACAUCAUUUCUCCCUUCCCUUUCUUUCAUCCAAACAUGCUUUUAACAGAAAACUAUUUUUACACAAGAAGAAGAAUUGAACCAAAGAUCUGAGGAUAACCUUCUCUAUUUUGUGCAUUUCUUUCUCCUUUAUCUUUUAUUAAAAUUUUCUAAUUAAGUGUAGUUUUAACAUAAGUGAUCAAUAUAGAGACAAAUAGACAUAUACAUAGAGAGAUGCUCAACAAAUAGCAUCAGUUUGUCUCUGUUGCUGAUCUUUCAUUGUUCAAGUUCUUAUCAAAUGCAAUCCUUUCCCCUCACUAUUAAUAAAUUUCUUUAUAUC